This is a non-coding RNA of Xyrichtys novacula (pearly razorfish), 1276 nucleotides long. The record is from the annotation of a GenBank genome assembly. Lineage: Eukaryota; Metazoa; Chordata; Actinopteri; Labriformes; Labridae.
CUCCCUCUUUCCACCGCUCUCUCUCACUGGCAAGGCAUCUGACAUCUCCAGGCAAAAGACAAAUUCUGUUUCGCCUGUUAAGUCGUCAGUCAAAGCUGCGCAAGAGUUUUUUUCCUCUUUCUUGCUCUCUCUCUCUCUCUCUCUCUCUCUCUCUCUCACUGCCUCUUUCUCUCUCUCUCCCUUUCUGUGUUUGCUUCAUUUCCGUGGAUGCCGUGUUGUGAAGGCCGCUUACACGCUUUUCAAACAAUAACAGUUCACCCCCCCACCGCAAGUUUCCUCUCUGCCAGAACCCUACACAUGCCAGCACAUCCUUUAGAGAGCCUUGAACCGACAACAAACGCUUAAGCAUUUUCACCGCCGAGAGAAAAGAGGGGCCCAUCCACAAGCCCCUGUGUAAUUAAACUAGAUCUAAUACUGUUAUAUGUUUCUCUUAGUGGAAGGAGCAUUUCAGGGGCCUUUUUCUCACAGCACUGAAUAGCUGUUUCCAGGUCAACACAAUACCCUGCAUAGGGACGAAUAAAGCUUUUGCAAAAGGUUAGUGAAAGUUUUCCAACUGGUUUUUGUGGGCCUAAAAGAGUAAGAAGAGUGCAACAGUCCUGGGCCAAUAUAAGAUUUUGUAAUUAUUUUUCUUUCAGCGCUAAUUGAUUGGAUUUAGAGCCUUAACAUCCACUGAAAGAGGGAAGGUGACAACAUUCUCAGUCUUUCUGUCAAUACGCAUCAUUAUAAUGCUGUAAACAACUCAGACUGUGAGUAGAAAUGUACCCUCUAACUGUCCACUGACUGUGAAGCUGAAAGAUAUAGAGCUCCCCCUAUUGAGUGGCUGCAGUAUUGGUCAAAAUCUCUUCCAUUUAACAGGAAGAUGGGUCAAGCUAUUAAAAAUGAGAUACACAUUAAAUAAAGUUUAUUCAACUAUGGUUUCUGUCAUUAGUGAGGUUUUGUUUUGAUCCACUAUUUCAUUGAUUGAUUAUUUGACAGCAUUAUUGACCAAAGCAGGCUCGGGUGUUCUUGAUCACAUUAUCAGAGUAGAGCUGCAAGGGAGAUUGUAACACAAACACAAUAGUCAUUGAACUAUCCACAACUGUAAAGGUUUGUUUUACUCAACACACGAAACUGUUUUCCUGUGGACUGUACCCACUUGAGGGGUCUUCAGCAUUUCAUCAGUAACAAUAAUAAUAAUAACACAAGAGAGGGUUGAAACAAGACAAACAAAUUAAUAAUCCAAUAGUUCAAGCAAUGGACAGUUAAAACAAUAGUUGAAAUAAAUGUCAGACUAAAU